UUCACAAUGUAAGUCAUUCUAGCAUUUCCCACAUUCAUAUUGAUGUUAAUGAAUCUAUACAUAUAGACAUAUAAAUGUGGGAAAUGCUAGAAUGACUUACAUUGUGAAAC
This 110-nucleotide unclassified non-coding RNA is filed under the name Oryza sativa (Asian cultivated rice). Its description in RNAcentral is "partial microRNA MIR472a-40-as precursor". The record is from RNAcentral. Lineage: Eukaryota; Viridiplantae; Streptophyta; Magnoliopsida; Poales; Poaceae.